Long non-coding RNA from Microcebus murinus (gray mouse lemur), 1275 nucleotides. RefSeq lists it as uncharacterized. Lineage: Eukaryota; Metazoa; Chordata; Mammalia; Primates; Cheirogaleidae. The record is from RefSeq and is a predicted model, not a curated record.
UCCAGCUUCUAGAAGCCACCUGCUUGGCUUGUGCCCUCUUCCUCACAUCACUCCAACCUCUUGCUAGGCCCAUCUCCUACUGCUCACUCUGACCCUCCUAGGUACUUCUUAUAUAAAGAAUCCUUGUGAUUAGAUUGAGUCCACCAGGAUAAUCCAGGAUAAUCUCUCCAUCUCGAGAUCUUCAACUUAAUCUGCAAAGUUGUUAUUGCCAAAGCUGAAGUAAAGAGAAAGAGAGGAAUUUUAUCAUUCGGUGGACCCAAUUUCAGCAUGACUUCAGAAUCCAAAUAACCUUUCAUUAAAGAGAAGAAAAGAAGUGGGAGAACCUAACAACAAAACAGGCCUACAUGAUGCCCAAAGUUAUUAUUCCUCUGUCCUAGUCUGUGUAUGAUGUCAUCAUUCUUGAGGAAAACUUCCUGUCAAGGAGAGUCUCAGGUCGUACUUUAAUGAGAGAAGAGAGGGAGAAGAAAACUGAGUAAGCGAUGAACGUGAAUUCUCCACACCAAACCUGGACUAACGGCAUCCAGUCAUUUUUUCCACGAGAAAGCGAUUCAGUUUGCUUUUGGAGCAAAUUAAGCUGCUAUUGUGAAAAUAAAGCUGCUGACAAGAUUUGAACUACAUAAGGGUCUGAUGAUGCAUGAAUCCCUUCUAGGGGCAGGACCAAGAUGACCUUUAAUGGAUUGGCUGUGAGGUGGGAAGAAAUCAGAAUCUUAAAGAGACUAGAAACUCCCUAUAAAAAGCAGAAUUAUAGCUCCAGAAGUGUUUCCAUGGUAAUGAUGUUAAAGGGAGGUUAUAAAGGAGAAAAGUCCAGCAUAUCAUCAAGGAGAAAAAGUGAAGAGAUACAAAUCAAGUCACUAUGGUCAGCUUCGUGGACAAAGAUGACUUCCACAUUACAUCAAAAAAAAGAAAGGGAAAAGAAUUAAAGAGUGAGACUUUGUGACUUUGUGGACCAUUUAGUUCUGUAUUCUACAUAAUGUCAACCAUCUAACAUUUUAUGGUUUUGUAAAAAUCCAGAUAUUGGCAUCUUGAGGGAAAUAUCUCUAGAAAAUGGACUGUAUCUUUCAAAGUUUUAAUAUAAUUUCUACCAACAAUCAAUUGGCACAAAUCAAUCAUCAUCUUCAUCAUCAGUAAUUGUUUUUAAAUACAUAUGGAGCACAAAUGAUGUUAUGGACCUAUCCUAGGCAUUACGUGUGUACAUAUAUUGGUGUGAGGAUGAGUUCUUUCUAAUGAGAGCUUAUAGCUGUCUUGGGGAGGCUGGAUAUGUUGAUAAAGAAUAAA